CAGUGGGCAGUGUGUGGUCGGGCCUGGGCCAGCUUACUGGGCCCAUGGUGGUAUCGGACAAGAUUGGUGGUGGUUGCUGCCCCCCCUCCCCACCCCGUCCCUCGUCCCCUUCGCCCUCCAUCACUGACCCACUCAAGGUGGGUUUGAUGCGUGGUCACAACAUAAUGAGUUGAUGGUUGCAACACAAAAAGUUUCCAUUUCUUACCCCCCAGGAGACCUUGUUAGGAAAGUUGUUGGCUCGUUACUUUAAAAAUGUCCUAUAGCUCGUGGAGUUCCCAUCAUGGUUCCCAGUCAGAUUCUUAACCACUGCGCCACCACAGGAACUCCUCAGCCUGCUUCUAACUCUGCAGCUCUGUCUAGAACGUUGCCCACCCGUGUACCACUUUCUCUUCCACCCCACAGUAACCUGCCCACAAAGCCUUCCAACCACGCUUAGAAUCUGACCUGUGUCUCCGUCUCGCUGCAGCCACGCUGGUCCCAGACCCCAGGGCGUCUCCCCUGGAUUCCAUCUCAGCCCCCUUUCUGUCUGCCCCGCGCUCCACCUUGGGCUCGCUGGUGGUGCGAACUGGAGACGGGCACCUGCCACCUGCCUCCCGAGCCGCUGUAGCUGGCGACCCUCAGCACCGCCUGCAAGGAGCUCGGGGUGGAGACCAGGAGGGAGGGCUCUGUGCUCUGGGAAAAUAGGCAGAGCAGAACUUGAGACAGAUAUUGUGAGCCCAACUCUUGCAUCUCUUCGUGUCUAGAAAAGCACCGACAGCCUUCAUGGUGACAGCUGCUCCUCGUGAACAGCUGCGGCGUUCACAAGACGAGCAGCGACUUCUGCAAAUGGGUGCUUGGGUGCACGCCCUCCCCCUUCACCGAAACCAUCUAUACUGACCUUCCCGCCACCUCUGUGGAGCGGUGUCUCGGAGCUCUCUGGAGCGCUGCCUCCCGGGCUCGCCUCCUCAUUUUGCCCCAAGUAAAACUUAACUGUCGGAGGUCCUGUGGUGGCUCAGCAGAAGCG
Molecule: long non-coding RNA, 1003 nt
Filed under: Sus scrofa (pig)
Lineage: Eukaryota; Metazoa; Chordata; Mammalia; Artiodactyla; Suidae
Description: lncRNA (ENSSSCG00040057874.1)
Source: RNAcentral